RNAcentral lists this ribosomal RNA (506 nucleotides) under uncultured bacterium. Its description in RNAcentral is "partial 16S ribosomal RNA". It matches the Rfam family "Bacterial small subunit ribosomal RNA", at positions 30 to 523 of the family's 1533-position model. The record is from RNAcentral.
AUUGAACGCUGGCGGCAGGCUUAACACAUGCAAGUCGAGCGGUAACAGAGAGAAGCUUGCUUCUCUGCUGACGAGCGGCGGACGGGUGAGUAAUGCCUAGGAAUCUGCCUAGUAGUGGGGGAUAACUUGCCGAAAGGUAAGCUAAUACCGCAUAAGUCCUACGGGAGAAAGGAGGGGAACUUCGGGCCUUUCGCCAUUAGCUGAUCCUAGUUGGGAUUAGUUAGUUGGUGAGGUAAUGGCUCACCAAGACCGCGAUCCGUAACUGGUCUGAGAGAAUGAUCAGUCACACUGGACCUGAGACACGGUCCAGACUCCUACGGGAGGCAGCAGUGGGGAAUAUUGGACAAUGGGGGGAACCCUGAUCCAGCCAUGCCGCGUGUGUGAAGAAGGUCUUAGGAUUGUAAAGCACUUUAAGUUGGGAGGAAGAGCAGUUAACUAAUAUUUGACUGUUUUGACGUUACCGACAGAAUAAGCACCGGCUAACUUCGUGCCAGCAGCCGCCGUAA